RNAcentral lists this transfer RNA (69 nucleotides) under Parazyginella tiani. RNAcentral describes it as "tRNA-Met". Lineage: Eukaryota; Metazoa; Arthropoda; Insecta; Hemiptera; Cicadellidae. The record is from RNAcentral.
AAAAAGAUAAGCUAAUUAAGCUAAUAGGUUCAUACCCUACUUAUAGGAGUAUAACCCUCCUUCUUUUUA